RNAcentral lists this ribosomal RNA (253 nucleotides) under uncultured bacterium. RNAcentral's name for it is "partial 16S ribosomal RNA". It matches the Rfam family "Bacterial small subunit ribosomal RNA", at positions 524 to 776 of the family's 1533-position model. The record is from RNAcentral.
UACGUAGGGGGCAAGCGUUGUCCGGAAUCAUUGGGCGUAAAGAGCGUGUAGGCGGCCAGAUAGGUCCGCUGUGAAAUCUCGAGGCUCAACUUCGAGCUGUCGGUGGAAACUGUCUGGCUAGAGUCCGGAAGAGGAGAAUGGAAUUCCUGGUGUAGCGGUGAAAUGCGCAGAUAUCAGGAAGAACACCCGUGGCGAAGGCGGUUCUCUGGGACGGUACUGACGCUGAGACGCGAAAGCGUGGGGAGCGAACAGG